CUCCCGUUGGUGAACCUGCGGAGGGAUCAUU
Molecule: ribosomal RNA, 31 nt
Filed under: Fusarium graminearum
Lineage: Eukaryota; Fungi; Ascomycota; Sordariomycetes; Hypocreales; Nectriaceae
Description: partial 18S ribosomal RNA
Source: RNAcentral